GCUCCUCGCCAGUCGCCGUAGCCCCUCUCCUCUUUCUCAUCCAUUCUUUGGAUAAACCCUCUUAAAACCCUCGAAAAUUGUAAUUUGGAACUAUGUUAAUUACCAGGAGAUGAAGCGAGUGUUCAAAAUCUCGGAUGCAGCCCAAUCAGAGCUGCUUUGCCGCCACAGAUCCCCUACUAUCUCCCUAAAUUUGUCCCCUUUAACUUACGGCCUCACCGAGUCCCCAGUUUACAGACUUGCCCGAGCGCAGACUCAUACUUCGCUGCCCUCCAAUUUUUUCCCUUACAUUAUCCCGCUUUUUUCUGACAAAUUCUCUCAAGUUGAAACCAAAGCCAGCCAGGAUUUGAGCAAAAAGGUGUCCCU
This 363-nucleotide unclassified non-coding RNA is filed under the name Hevea brasiliensis (rubber tree). The record is from RNAcentral. Lineage: Eukaryota; Viridiplantae; Streptophyta; Magnoliopsida; Malpighiales; Euphorbiaceae.